Molecule: long non-coding RNA, 6903 nt
Filed under: Malus domestica (apple)
Lineage: Eukaryota; Viridiplantae; Streptophyta; Magnoliopsida; Rosales; Rosaceae
Description: long non-coding RNA (MDOM_LNC016920)
Source: RNAcentral
GAAACUGGGCAAACUUUAAAUCAUUAUAAAUUUCUCAUUUCUCCACCAAAUCACACGAUCCAAGCAUGAAAAUUCAUCUACACAAUAUGAGGAAUCAAUUUAUACCUAAGUUCAAGUCCAAUCUAGCCAGGAAAGGCUCCAAUUUCACUCAAACCUGUCGGAACCCUAUAAAGGGUAUGCUUCGAUUCGACUUCUCCGGUGUUCCAACACCCCUAUAACUGGUUGGGUCUUGUUUCUGAGUCCAGGGGAAGUUGAUUAAGGGUGAUGGUGGGUGGUAGAACUCGCGGGAACUGCGGGAUAGCCGUUGAACACCUCCAGCUCUUCCACACGGUUCUUGUGAUUUUGGACCUAAAAGCUCAUAAAUUUGGGGUGGAAAUGGUAGAAGGCAUGUUGUGGAAGAGAUGGCAGGUGUUAGAUGGUGAUGGUUCGAUGGAAAAGAUGGCGAAAAUUGCCGGAAUUCGAUUGGGUUGGGUGCGGGUAGAAGGGCCGACAGAAAUGGAGCUUUCCUCUUUUUUAUUUUUUUUAUUUUUUUCCUGAAUUCUCAUUGGUCCUUCCCCUUUUCUUUUCAAAAUUUGAUUGGUCACUUAUUUAACAUAACUGAUUGGGCUGAAACCAAGCCCCUGAUUGGUUCCUUUAUUUCUUACUUAAUUCCAAUUGGUUCUCCUUAAUCUUGCCUAAAUCCGAUUGGGCUUUUCUCCCACAAGGUGGAAGUUCAAUUAAUCUAUAAUCCAAAAUAUAAAUAACCAAAUUCAAAUGUCCGUGACCUUACCGUUAUAAUCCGGAUUCACAAACGGCUUUCAUCUAUGAGUUCGUACCAACGAGUACUACACAAAUACGCCAAAAGAAUAAGUCAUACGUUCCUCUAGACGACGGUCAACAGAAAUCAAAGUCCUCGCCUCCAGGGCAUUUUCGUCAAUUCACGCUUUUAAAAUUUAUAAAAUUGUAAAAUUUGGGACCGGUUGUCACAAUCUAUCCACCUUAAAAAAUAUUGUCCCCGAAAUUUAAAAUAACAUGUAUGUAAAUACAUACGCGAGGAAGACAUCAAGUUAAAACAGCUAUAUAAAAGAGAAUCCCUUUGGGAAUAUGCAACAUCGUCUGAACAAGCCUCAACCGUGCUCACGCACUACUUCGUCAGUCAACAUCGUCGAUAUCAUAAAAUCUUCAUGUCACCAUCUCAAUUAUUCAAAUACCUAUUCAGAAUUCUCUGCUGCAACUCACAUUCUACUACCAUAUUUCAAAUGACCAUACUCAUAACUAGAAAUGUAACUGCAGUUACACAACUUUAACAAGGCUAAGUGUCUAACAAUCAUGUACCAUGCAUAAAAUCUCCGUAUAUUGACUAUAAUGGUAUCUUAGCUAACCAUGAAUACAAACAACUAAAACAGAGAUAGUGGUAUGUUACAAUCAUAGUACUCGUGGGAUGAACAAAACGCAAUAUGUCCACUAAAGUUUGAGUAACUUGCUUCAGUCAAAUCUUUAGUCUAGAGGUGGAAAUAUGAUACUAAACAACAUCUAAUACUUACAGCCUUUAAAAAGACUUCCAAAGGCUUGGAAGUAAAAUGUGCACUACGAUGUAAUAAAAAUAUGUCAAGAUAAUAAUCUGGUUGUUUUCUAUUUGCCUGAACUUGUAUAAAAGUCUAGAAGCAACUCUCUCAAAAUGCCAUCAUCUUGCAAAAGCAAACAGAGAAGAAACUGUGGUUGUCCAGAAAGUUUGGACUUUAUUUCCUUGACAUCCUUCUACUCCAACCGAAGGCGAGAUGCCUAGACUGAAAUUUCUCUUCAAGUACCUCAAGUGGAGCCUAAAAUUUAAUUUUUCAUUUGAUCAUAUCACGAACAAGGACUUUUAGAUCACGUCUCGCAGAUAAUUUAACAACAUCCCACUUCUAUCUUAGUUGUCCUCAAAAGUGUCUUUCAUAUAAUCCUCAGUCUCCCAGGUGGCUUCCUCCACCAAGUGAUUCCUUCACAAAACUUUUACUAAACGUACGGCCUUAUUCCUUAUAACUUUAUCCUUCGAACCCAAAAUCGUCACCGGCUCCUCAUCAUAUGACAAAUCUAGAUUAAUCUCUAAUGGUUGAGGAGGGAUCACAUGUGAUGGAUCUGAUACAUAAUGGUGAAGCAUAGAAACAUGAAAAACAUUGUGCACUUUAGAUAACUCUGGAGGCAACUCAAACGUGUAAGCAGCUUCACUGAUUCGUUCAGGAUCCGGUACAGUCCAAUGUACCUAGGACUUAACUUACCCUUUUUCCCGAACCUUACUACUCAUUUCCAAGGAUAACUUUAAAAAUACCCAAUCACCAACUUUAUACUCUCAGUCAGUGGAGGUGUAAAAAUAGGGGUAAGGUGAGACAACACUUCAGUUGUCAGAAACUUUAAUCAUUUCCAACACCCACUCUAAUUUAACUUUCCUUGGUGAUAAGUGAGGAAAACUCUAUAGACGAAAGGUUUGAGGUUUCUACGAUAAAGUGUUUAGUCCCUGGUUGGGUAGACUUGUAAUUAAGUUUCUCAAUGACAUCAGAAACGUUCGAUAUGAAGUAAGGAAAAUUGGUGUACCAUUAAGAAGUGGGUCGAUGAUGUACCUCAGUUCACAAUUUGGUGAUAUCCCAGGUAAGAUGUUAGGAUAUGACGCCAAAAGUACACGUCCUUGAAACGUACAAUACUACUAACCAACUUUACGACACAAACAAAAGAUCUUCACAGUUUUCUCAAAAUUCAAAUCACUUUAACAACGAGAUAUUAACUCAUACCUCGAUUCUACUGUCUACCUAUGAGAGUGAUCGAGAGGUGGCUAGUCGAAGAGGUUACAUUUACUUAGGUAGGUGAUAAGGUGAAAACAACCAUGAGUUAACUAUUCUAAUACAAAGCUUGUUCCUAAGCUUUCACGAUCCUAGAUUAUUCGGCUCAAGCAAAGUAGUUCAUUGAUCCUAGGAGGAUUUGAUGACUGCUUUUCGGAUUUCUACAACUCUCAUGAUAUGACAACUUACACUCGCAAACCUAUUCUCACCCAUUUAAUAAGUAUAACAACAAAAACAAAAUCUCGGAAUUAGCGUUGAUUGAAAAAUUCCAAGGCUGGAAAAAGACCUUGCUAAAGAUCUACUUUCAAAAAGACUUUAUCGAGAGUGGAUCUUCCUCCUAAAGAUUUAGCAUGAACACAAGUACGCUUGAAGAUAUUAAUGCUAACAAGGACCAAAAGUAAUUAUCCCUCAGAUGAUUUUCCGUGAAUUGCUACUAAGAAAUCAAGACUAGUUGAGAUUUCCAAUCUAAAACGGAUCAAUACUAACGGCGGAAGAAUAAUGAUAGAAUUAUUUGGUAAUAUCUCUGUUGAUACACGGUUAUUAAUACAUUAACUUAGGCCAUCCACUUGCCUCAAAUCUACACCUUUCCUCCACAAGUAAAAUUUUCGUUUUAAUUCUAAGGGCAUUGUCAAAAAUGAUUUUCUAAAAUGUCGUCAAGACUACAAAACUACCCAAAACUAAAGAAAAGCUAACAUAUUUUUCCAUAUUUGACACGGUGGCAAGAUUCAAGCAUCUAGUCAAGAACCAAAAAUGUUCACAUCACGCGUGUGAUGAACGCCAUACUGCCCAACUUAUGCUUUGAUACCAAACAGACACACACCGACCCACAAAGUCCACUUAGACUCUAAAUCGAGAUGUGGUGGCCGACACCUGUAAGGUGAUGAAACCAUAAAGUGUGGUAGAGUUUAGAAAAAUGUGAAUAAAUCUGAACCUAAAAGUGUUUAAAUACCAGAGUGCGUUGUGCGUGGGAGCAAACUCAUUUCACAUGCGAAGUCAGAGCAUAAGUAGAGUACAGUAGUGUGGGUAUGAAUCAUACCCUUAGAGGUAGCCAUCAAUACUAAGAUUUGCCAUAGAUCCUCAUCGAUACGAACUCAGCAGCUAAAACCUGGACGACACGAAACAGAGAGUGUGAGUGAGCAAUAAAACCAAGCUUCCCAAAGUUAUUAUUUUCCUAGAAGUAAUGUCUCUCAAUGUAAGACCCGUAUCGUUUUCAUAAGACAAUACUACAUAUAUAUAUCCAAACCAUACACAAAAAUGGCCAAGACCAUAGGUAUGCCAUGUCCAACAACUCCACUAUGCAUUAACGAGUUGGCCAAAUGAACUUAAUCAAUAUAGGAUGAUAUAUCAGCCGGAGUCACCUAACGUGACCUGUACGACUGCAUCCAAUUUUCAUCAAUUAAUGCGAGCAUAUAAGCUGGAGUCACCUGUAGUGACCUGUACGACAUAUCCAUAUCUUAUCAAUCAAUGCUAGCUUAUAAGUCGGAAUCACCUAUUUUGACUUGUAAAACAUAUCCAUAUCUCAUCAAUUAAUGUUAGCUCAUAAGUUGGAGUCAACCGUAGUGACCUGUACGACAUAUCGAUAUCUCAUUAAUCAAUGCUAGCUCAUAAGUCGAAGUCACCCGUAGUGACCUGUACGACAUAUCUAUAUCUUAUCAAUCAAUGCUAGCUCAUAAGUCGGAGUCACAUCUAGUGACUUGUACGACUGAAAUCAUAGCUCAUUAAUCAAUCUGGCCGGAGUCACCUCUAGUGACCUAUACGGCAUUACGCCUGCACAUGAAUAGGAACCACUAUAGUGGUCUAUACGACAGGACUGGGUGUAAAUGAAUACGCUCAAGUGCUACGAUCAUGUGAAGAGUCACCUACGAGUCGGAACCACCUAUAGUGAUCUGUAUGAUAGGUCUGUGCACCUACCUUGAAUUCAAGAUGAGCGUAUGGUGUGGAGGUUAACAUUACGUGAAGAACUAUGCCCUGGCCACGGGCGGGAAAACUAGCACCGGGGUACAGGUUUAUGAGCUUUAAAUGAAUCUAAUACAACAUGUACGACUCAUAAGCAACCUGUACGACAAUGCCGGAGUUGCCUACUAUUGCAACCUAUACGACAGUGUCGAAGUUGCUUAAAACAUAAAUGUAGUCAUACCAUAACCCCAUCAGUUCAACUAAUAUUGUAUACUUACCUGAACGUACCUGAACAUACCUGUGUGUCCUGCGUUCACCUUUGCACUUCAGAGCUUUCACAAUAAGUAGGUUCAGGAAAUAAACAUAUGAAUAUGCCAUGAUGUAAAUCUAAAAUUCAACCAUGUCAUAAUAUUUCCGGAUAUAUAAACAUAUAUACAAAUGGCAUAAAAUGCAUAAACUGUAACGCCCCACUCCCGAACUAUUUAAUUUCGAAAGUAAACAUCAGUGAUAAGCCCAAUUAGACACUAGUUUAAUUAACUGCCAUUACUUAUGUUUCCUUACUUCAACUUCUUGAUUCUUCACACAUUGAUUUAUGAACAACAUUUAACCACCAAAACAUAAAGUUAAAUCUCACAUUUUCCACCAAUGUCCCUUGUUGAUGCACAAAACCGGGACGGUCUUGGAACAACGUAAAUCCGACCGUGAAUCUGCAUAAACGCUCAAGAACACGAAGAACACAAAGAACACAAGGAACACAAGGAUUUUAUCGUGGUUCACCCCAAUGUUUGGGCUACGUCCACACUGUAGUUGAUUCUGUUUCUCUGUAAGUGUAUGGAUACAAGUGUUUGGGGAAGUCCCCCAGAGAAAGAAGAGAAGGGAGAGGAGAGCCUCGGUGGUGUGAGGUCUCUCCUGAAUGUAAUGAGAGCUUCUCUUAGCCUUCUUAAGCUGGCUCUCUCCCUCCCUUAGAAUGAUGGGAUGAGUCCCCUUUUAUAGAAUAAGGGGCUCCUCCUUUUUUACAAAGUAUGGGCUUUAGUGUGAGGCCCAAAUACAAGGCCCAAGGCCCAAAUAUACGAGGCCCUAAAUAUGGUAUAAACAUCCCUCACAAUGCUCAGUUCCCCAAACAAGGCUAUUGUCUCAAUUAUUUAGUCUCAUUUAUUGUAUGGCUGCAUGUAACAUCUUGUUAGACUACCUACGUACCCUAAACAGGGAUCAAGCCAUUCGUAGUUCACUAUAAUUAUUUGUAGGUACAUACAUAAAUCACUUUAAGAACGUUUGUGGAAUUAAUAAUUAUAUACAUAUGGUAAGGGGAAAAGAUCCACUCACCUGGAGCCCAUGCUAUGAUUCACCAGCACGUACAUCGAGGUGUCCCGAACAAUUGGCACCUAUAACAAUUAUCGAAUCACAUCUCAAAACUCUUAUCAAUAGAAUACGUAAUUCACAUAAAGCACAUCCUCAAGGAAAUUCUAAAAUGAUUUGAGAUCCAUUGACCAAAGGUCAACCGUUGGUUAAAGAUCGACGGUGAGGUCCACAACCCUACAUAACUCAAUCUAGGAGAUCCGCAACUCAGAUUUUUGAUCCAUAACUUUCAAAGAUCCAAAUUGUGCUUCUAAAAUAACAUACUAAAAUUUCAUUACGAUCCAACGGUCGGAUCUCCACCUUUUGUCCAAAACCAAGUGGCGGUUAACAUUUAUUUUAUAAACUUACAAAUUCAAUUCGGGAAGAUCCAUACGUUGGAUUCCGGAUCCAUAAGUUUCUAUGGUCCUCAAAUAUUACGUACUAAUGUAUUAAAGUUUGGUGAUAAUCCAAUGGUCGGAUCGUCGAUUACUAUUCUAAACAAGUGGUGGACCUUAAUGGAACUUUGCCGGAUUCUGCAGAUUUUGCAGAUUUCCCGGGCGAUCUUUGGAACUCCAUAUCUCACAUGUUUCUCACCCAAAUUCAACCCAUAAUAUACCAAAUCGAAGCUCGCGAAAUGUAGAACAAAAUUAUACCAGCUUGGAGUCCAAAUGGUGGUUGGAGGUGGCCGGAAAAUGGUCUGAAAGACGGCUGUCCGCGGGAAAACUGGUAACUCGCCGGAAUUUCUGGGCAUCCUUUUCAACAUCCAUAACUUUGUCAAUACUCAACGAAAACAAGUAAUUCAAAAAUGGAAAUCAUAGUGCUCAACGAGACGAAGAUAUUGGUACCUUACAUGAUGGCUAUCUCGCUGUGAUUUGGCCAG